This is a long non-coding RNA of Neoarius graeffei (lesser salmon catfish), 617 nucleotides long. RefSeq lists it as uncharacterized. NCBI's taxonomy places the organism in Eukaryota, Metazoa, Chordata, Actinopteri, Siluriformes, Ariidae. The record is from RefSeq and is a predicted model, not a curated record. The transcript has 3 exons.
GUCUCACUCUAGUCUUAUCUAUUGUGGUUUUUUCUUAACUUUCCCGGGGAAAUAGGUCAGAAAUUUACAUAUACCUGAUCAGGUCUGCAGCCCAGUUGGUGAUGACUAAAAAUAAGUUGCAGAGAAUUGCCUACAACUGAAACCACACAGAAACCAUUCUUCCCUCCGUCAUGGUGUAAGUGUAAAAGAAUUCCGUCCGUGAUUCGGAAAGAGGGCAAGGAAACUCUGAGGUUUAGUACGGAGAGGAGACGAGCACGGCUGAACAACAUCAGCAGGGCUGAUCUAACAGAGGCUAAAACCAAAACAGCUCGUGUUUGCAGUCAUCAUUUUAUUUCAGGAGCAAGGAUCCCUAUUUUACACAAAGGAUCAGUGUGUACUUUUAGACAGAAGAAUGGAAGGAAACCAGAGAACUCAGAGGAAACCCACACAAGCAGGUGGAGAAACGGCAACCCUCUGUACAGACGCUAACCCUCAGAGUCGAACCGGAGACCUUGUACCAUGCACUUUAAAUAAUAUGAUUGUAAAAUAUCUUUAACUAGUGCAUUUCAUGCUUUGAAAAAUGCAUGGUGCUUGCGGUGUAUGUAUGUAUAUUGGUGACAAAUUAAUAAAAGAAGAAA